CAUACAUUCUAGCCAAGCCUUCUGAUAUGCCGGGGAAAGGUGCCCACUGAACUUUUUGUGAGGUUCUGAAUCAUUGCUGGUAAUACUAAGGUUCUCAUCUUUCCAUUCUGAAAAACAGAAUCUGCAAUCACAAGACGAACAUUUUAUCAGCACGUGAGAAGUUACCAGAGACCUGGAAGACCCUUGUUCUCUGGUUUCUUGGAGAUUCUGUGAGCUAUCACUAUUCCAUCAGAUAUAUUCCUUUGAAUAUGUCAGACAAAACGAAGAAGAAGCAGAAGAAGCAGAAGCAGAA
Molecule: long non-coding RNA, 292 nt
Organism: Neofelis nebulosa (Clouded leopard)
Lineage: Eukaryota; Metazoa; Chordata; Mammalia; Carnivora; Felidae
Exons: 2
Source: RefSeq, a predicted model, not a curated record